AUAGCGGAGGAAAGAAACCAACAGGGAUUGCUCUAGUAACGGCGAGUGAAGCAGCAAUAGCUCAAAUUUGAAAUCUGCCUACGGGCCGAGUUGUAAUUUGUAGAGGAAGCUUUGGGUACCGCUCUUUCUAAGUCCCCUGGAACGGGGCGCCAAAGAGGGUGAGAGCCCCGUAUAGUAAGAAGCCUAGCCUGUGUAAAGCUCCUUCGACGAGUCGAGUAGUUUGGGAAUGCUGCUCUAAAUUGGAGGUAAAUUCCUUCUAAAGCUAAAUACCUGUCAGAGACCGAUAGCGCACAAGUAGAGUGAUCGAAAGAUGAAAAGCACUUUGAAAAGAGAGUUAAACAGCACGUGAAAUUGUUGAAAGGGAAGCGCCUAUAACUAGACUUGCGCUAGAUCGAUCUCCUGUCGUUUUCGGCAGUGUACUCGGUCUAGCCCAGGCCAGCGUCAGUCCUUGUAGCAGGAUAAAAGCCUUUGGAAUGUGACUCCCUCGGGAGUGUUAUAGCCUUGGGCAUAAUAUUGCUGUAGGAACUGAGGAUCGCGCCUUGCGAGGACGCUGGCGUAAUAGUUAUCAGCGACCCGUCUUGAAACACGGACCAAGGAGUCAAGGUUUUACGCAAGUGUUUGGGUGUUAAACCCGCACGCGCAAUGAAAGUGAACGUAGGUGAGAGCCUUGAGGCGCAUCACCGACCGAUCCUGAUGUAUUCGGAUGGAUUUGAGUAGUAGCGUAGUGCCUUGGACCCGAAAGAUGGUGAACUAUGCUUGGAUAGGGUGAAGCCAGAGGAAACUCUGGUGGAGGCUCGCAGCGGUUCUGACGUGCAAAUCGAUCGUCAAAUCUGAGCAUGGGGGCGAAAGACUAAUCGAACCAUCUAUAGCU
Molecule: ribosomal RNA, 871 nt
Filed under: Phyllachora cynodontis
Lineage: Eukaryota; Fungi; Ascomycota; Sordariomycetes; Phyllachorales; Phyllachoraceae
Description: eukaryotic LSU rRNA
Rfam family: Eukaryotic large subunit ribosomal RNA
Source: RNAcentral